This is a long non-coding RNA of Neofelis nebulosa (Clouded leopard), 674 nucleotides long. RefSeq lists it as uncharacterized. NCBI's taxonomy places the organism in Eukaryota, Metazoa, Chordata, Mammalia, Carnivora, Felidae. The transcript has 5 exons. The record is from RefSeq and is a predicted model, not a curated record.
AUCGGCUGGAACGUGAUGCCUGCCAUGACACGUAACAGUCCCGCUGUCCUGCUAACAGACACACAGGAUGUGACCACCUCCACACAGAUGAAUCCCAAGAACCUGGAAGAAUGACUGGAACAUAAUAGCUGUUUCUACAAAAGCAUGUCAUAAAAGGGAAGCUGCUUUAAGGGCCAAGGAGAAGACUUAGAACACACAAGAUGUCAACUUCAAGACACAAUGCCAGUGAUUCAAGAGAUCUGAACUUACCAGCCUGCUCAUUACAUUCAAUGGACCAAAUCCCUUCUCAAUUUUCAACGGGAUUAGCUGGUCAAUAAUUUAUGACAUUUUCAAGGCUGAGCCAAGGGGUCAGUCAAAUUCAUCUUUACAUCUCCUAAACGGCUCCUGCCACAUAACAGGUUCUCAACAAAUGUUGAAAGAAAGGAAGGGAACUACAAAAGGAAGAAGGAAAUUAAAAUGUGAUGGAAAGAUGAAGUCCAUGUUCUUCAGGAGCUCACAAUCCAGUGUGAAAGGCCAAUAAACAAAAGAUGAAUGGCACAAGGCAGAGAAAUAGGUGCAGAAAACACAAAGGACCCAAGUGUUCUGGGGCAAAGAGAAUGAAGAAACCAAUGUUCACUAUUCCAGGUAAAUCCACAGAGAGAAGCUGACUAAAUCCAUACAGCAACCCCAUGAAG